AGUGAACGCUGGCGGUAGGCCUAACACAUGCAAGUCGAACGGCAGCACAGUAAGAGCUUGCUCUUACGGGUGGCGAGUGGCGGACGGGUGAGGAAUACAUCGGAAUCUACUUUUUCGUUGGGGAUAACGUAGGGAAACUUACGCUAAUACCGCAUACGACCUACGGGUGAAAGCAGGGGAUCUUCGGACCUUGCGCGAUUGAAUGAGCCGAUGUCGGAUUAGCUAGUUGGCGGGGUAAAGGCCCACCAAGGCGACGAUCCGUAGCUGGUCUGAGUGGAUGAUCAGCCACACUGGAACUGAGACACGGUCCAGACUCCUGCGCUAGGACGCAGUGGGGAAUAUUGGACAAUGGGGGCAAGCCUGAUCCAGCCAUACUGGGUGGGUGAAGAAGGCCUUCGGGUUGUAAAACCCUUUUGUUGGGAAAGAAAAGCAGCAGUUUAAUACCCCGCUGUUCUGACGGUACCCAAAGAAUAAGCACCGGCUAACUUCGUG
This 492-nucleotide ribosomal RNA is filed under the name uncultured bacterium. RNAcentral's name for it is "partial 16S ribosomal RNA". It matches the Rfam family "Bacterial small subunit ribosomal RNA", at positions 29 to 507 of the family's 1533-position model. The record is from RNAcentral.